This 274-nucleotide ribosomal RNA is filed under the name uncultured bacterium. RNAcentral's name for it is "partial 16S ribosomal RNA". It matches the Rfam family "Bacterial small subunit ribosomal RNA", at positions 523 to 796 of the family's 1533-position model. The record is from RNAcentral.
AUACGGAGGGGGCUAGCGUUGUUCGGAAUUACUGGGCGUAAAGCGUACGUAGGCGGACUGAUCAGUUGGGGGUGAAAUCCCAGGGCUUAACCCUGGAACUGCCUUCAAUACUGUCAGUCUUGAGUUUGAGAGAGGUGAGUGGAAUUCCUAGUGUAGAGGUGAAAUUCAUAGAUAUUAGGAGGAACACCAGUGGCGAAGGCGGCUCACUGGCCCAUUACUGACGCUGAGGUACGAAAGCGUGGGGAGCAAACAGAAUUAGAUACCCUAGUAGUCC